AUGAAAUUCUUUGCUGACAGGAAGAGAUCAGAAAGACAACUAGCAGUGGGUGACAUGGUCUAUGUUAAGCUACAACCAUACAGACACACCAGUUUAAGUAUCCAUAGGCACCUGAAACUCCACUCCAAGUAUUAUGGUCCCUUCAGAGUAAUGGAGAAAAUUGGAAUUGUGACUUACAGGUUAUUACUACAUGAGGGCUGCCAACUCCAUCCCACCUUCCAUGUCAGCCAGCUCAAGAAGCAGCUCGGUCCAGAAGCAGUACCUAACCCAAAGCUACCAUUGUUGGAUGAGCAAGGGAACAUCCUGAUACAACCUGAAGCUAUACUGAAAAGGAAAGUGAUUCCUCAAGUACAAGCUGAUAUCAGCAUUCCUGUGGACCAAUGGCGUAUCAAAUGGCUCAACCUGCCAAUGGAGAACGCUACUUGGGAGGAUGCAGCUUUCAUUCAAAAGGUUUUUCCUGAUUUCCAUCCUUAA
RNAcentral lists this ribosomal RNA (474 nucleotides) under Triticum aestivum (bread wheat). RNAcentral describes it as "partial small subunit ribosomal RNA". The record is from RNAcentral. Lineage: Eukaryota; Viridiplantae; Streptophyta; Magnoliopsida; Poales; Poaceae.